This 253-nucleotide ribosomal RNA is filed under the name uncultured bacterium. Its description in RNAcentral is "partial 16S ribosomal RNA". It matches the Rfam family "Bacterial small subunit ribosomal RNA", at positions 524 to 776 of the family's 1533-position model. The record is from RNAcentral.
UACGUAGGGUACGAGCAUUAAUCGGAUUUAUUGGGCGUAAAGGGCGCGUAGGCGGGAGCGCAAGUCAGAUGUGAAAGCCCGGGGCUCAACCUCGGAACAGCAUUUGAAACUACACUUCUAGAGGGUAGGCGGAGAAAACGGAAUUCCACAAGUAGCGGUGAAAUGCGUAGAUAUGUGGAAGAACACCAGUGGCGAAGGCGGUUUUCUAGCUUAUACCUGACGCUGAGGCGCGAAAGCAAGGGGAGCAAACAGG